UGCAUCGGCCGGGAAUCGAACCCGGGCCGCCCGCGUGGCUGGCAGGCGAGCAUUUUACCACUGAACCACCGAUGC
Cordylochernes scorpioides is the source of this 75-nucleotide non-coding RNA. The record is from the annotation of a GenBank genome assembly. NCBI's taxonomy places the organism in Eukaryota, Metazoa, Arthropoda, Arachnida, Pseudoscorpiones, Chernetidae.